This 442-nucleotide ribosomal RNA is filed under the name uncultured bacterium. RNAcentral's name for it is "partial 16S ribosomal RNA". It matches the Rfam family "Bacterial small subunit ribosomal RNA", at positions 338 to 795 of the family's 1533-position model. The record is from RNAcentral.
CCUACGGGAGGCUGCAGUGGGGAAUAUUGGGCAAUGGGCGCAAGCCUGACCCAGCAACGCCGCGUGAAGGAAGAAGGCUUUCGGGUUGUAAACUUCUUUUCUGGGGGACGAACAAAUGACUGUACCCCAGGAAUAAGCCACGGAUAACUACGCGCCAGCAGCCGCUGUAAUACGUAGGUGGCACGCGUUAUCCGGAUUUAUUGGGUGUAAAGGGCGUGUAGGCGGGAAUGCAAGUCAGAUGGUAACACUCAGGGCUCAACCCUGAGCCUGCAUUUGAAACUGUGUUUCUUGAGUGCAGUAGAGGCAAUCGGAAUUCCGGGUGUAGCGGUGAAAUGCGUAGAUAUACGGAGGAACACCAGUGGCGAAGGCGGAUUGCUGGACAGUAACUGACGCUGAGGCGCGAAAGCGUGGGGAGCAAACAGGAUUAGAUACCCUGGUAGUC